Molecule: ribosomal RNA, 453 nt
Filed under: uncultured bacterium
Lineage: Bacteria
Description: bacterial SSU rRNA
Rfam family: Bacterial small subunit ribosomal RNA
Source: RNAcentral
GAUGAACGCUGGCGGCGUGCUUAACACAUGCAAGUCGAACGAAGCACUUUACCACGAUUCCUUCGGGAUGACGGUUUGGUGACUGAGUGGCGGACGGGUGAGUAACGCGUGGGGAACCUGCCCCAUACCGGGGGAUAACAGCCGGAAACGGCUGCUAAUACCGCAUAAGCGCACAGUACCGCAUGGUACGGUGUGAAAAACUCCGGUGGUAUGGGAUGGACCCGCGUCUGAUUAGCCAGUUGGCGGGGUAACGGCCCACCAAAGCGACGAUCAGUAGCCGGCCUGAGAGGGCGACCGGCCACAUUGGGACUGAGACACGGCCCAGACUCCUACGGGAGGCAGCAGUGGGGAAUAUUGCACAAUGGGGGAAACCCUGAUGCAGCGACGCCGCGUGAGUGAGGAAGUAUUUCGGUAUGUAAAGCUCUAUCAGCAGGGAAGAAGAAAUGACGGUAC